UGCCAGCCGCCGCGGUAAGACAGAGGGUGCGAACGUUGUUCGGAAUUAUUGGGUUUAAAGGGUCCGCAGGCUGUUUGUUAAGUCAGGGGUGAAAUCCUACCGCUCAACGGUAGAACUGCCUUUGAUACUGGCAAACUUGAGUUAUUGUGAAGUAGUUAGAAUGUGUAGUGUAGCGGUGAAAUGCAUAGAUAUUACACAGAAUACCAAUUGCGAAGGCAGAUUACUAACAAUUAACUGACGCUGAGGGACGAAAGCGUGGGUGGCGAACAGGAUUAGAUA
RNAcentral lists this ribosomal RNA (279 nucleotides) under uncultured bacterium. RNAcentral describes it as "partial 16S ribosomal RNA". It matches the Rfam family "Bacterial small subunit ribosomal RNA", at positions 506 to 784 of the family's 1533-position model. The record is from RNAcentral.